Molecule: long non-coding RNA, 1186 nt
Organism: Alligator mississippiensis (American alligator)
Lineage: Eukaryota; Metazoa; Chordata; Crocodylia; Alligatoridae
Exons: 3
Source: RefSeq, a predicted model, not a curated record
GUAAGCUUUUCUGAUCCAGGAAUUUUAGAUUUUUGCAUGUCUUUUUUUCUCAGACCAACGCGGCUACCAAAUACAUGCCUAGAACCGUGAGGCACACAACACUGUCAGAGGACUGUUGUAGCACAAUUACUGGAGUCCAUUGGGGUAGAAAUGAAAGGAUCAGACUUUGAAAUGACAUAUUUCCUUCAACUCCUGAAAAAUCUUGAAACCAGAUAAGAAAGAUGCCAAUUAAUGGGGAAAAUCCCCAAACAUCAUCAUAAGUGCUACUGAAGCUGAAAAUGACCAUCCAAACCACCGUGAUGGAGUUUCUUCUCUUGGGAUUCUCGGAUAGUCGAGAGCUACAGAUUUUACACUUCAUGAUAUUUCUAUUAAUUUACCUGGCAACCCUAAUAGGAAAUACGCUUAUCAUUGUGGCCUUACUUGUGGAGCCUAACCUUCAUACCCCCAUGUAUUUUUUUCUUGGAAACUUAUCAUUCAUAGACCUCUGCUACAUCUCUGUCACCACUCCCAAGUCUAUGGUUAAUGCCAUAACAAACAUCAGAUCUGUUUCUUUCUAUGGGUGCAUCACUCAGCUCUUCUUGGUUAUCUGCUUCAUGUCAGCAGAGCUGGCCUUCCUCACAGUGAUGGCAUAUGACCGCUACAUUGCAAUCUGCCAGCCUUUGAGAUACAGAUUGAUCAUGAGCAAUAGUACCUGUCUCCAGUUGACCGUUGUUUGCUGGAUUGGCAGUGUGAUCUAUUCAGCUUUUCUCACUGGUGAUACUUUUAGGUUGCACUUUUGUGGGUCCAACAUUAUCAGCCAUUUCUUCUGUGGCAUUCCACAAUUACUGAAACUGUCUUGCACUGAUAUGCAUGCUAAUGAAAUCGUGCUUUUUGUCUGUUGUUCAGUCUUUGGGUCCAUAUUCAUCGCUUCAAUAUUUGUGUCUUACAUUCACAUCUUUAUAUCACUGUGCUGAAAAUGCCCUCGGUACAAGGCAAGUAUAAAACUUUAUCCACUUGCCUGCCUCAUUUGACUGUUUUCUCUUUAUUUAUGAGCACUACCAUGCUUACAUACAUGAGACCAAGUCUGGUGCACUCAGACUGCCAUUCCCUCAUUGAUGCUGUGCUGUAUUCUGUGGUUCCUCCUCUCAUCAAUCCAAUAAUCUACAGCCUAAGAAACAAGGAAAUAAAAAAUGUGGUGAGAAAAAUG